This is a long non-coding RNA of Gallus gallus (chicken), 1091 nucleotides long. The record is from Ensembl. Lineage: Eukaryota; Metazoa; Chordata; Aves; Galliformes; Phasianidae.
CCCAAGGGCACAGCUCCGUGGCAGAGAGCAGAUCUCAGCCAUGCUGCAUGAGGGGUUGGGGACAGCAGGACCCAAGUGAGCUGCCUUCAGCCCUGCCCAGCAGCAAGCAUCCUUCCCUCAGUGGAGAUAUGGCUAAUGGCAGCUUAGCUGUAAUGCUGCAUUUCUGCAUCACUGAAGCUCCAAGCCUCCCCCUGCACCCCAGAUUCCUCCGUCUGGUUCUCAGCUUAUCCUCAGCACACUGGUUUUGAAGAAAAUGCUGGCAAUCAAUGGAAAAAUUGUUUGCAGGACAAAAUUUAACUCCCACAUGGUAUGAAAUGAUUCAAAGCCCCAGUUCCCACUUCGUGAUGAAUCCAAGUUCAGCUUCGCUUCUGUUAGCACCACAGAGAAAUCUCAGACAAGAUAGAUGCCUGCAGCCAGAAGAAGCCUUAAAUUGAACACCUAAAAAUAGAAACCUUCUGAAUUUAUAAAUAUUUUUGCAAAUCAACCUUUUAUAACUACCUUCCUUUUGUAGCUGUGGUAGUUAGCAUUGAAAUCCAAGUAUAUUUCAGCAAAAGAGAAAGCUGAUCAAGCAACCCAGGAUAUUUUGCAGAGUUUUGCUAAUUCCAGAAGGCCCAGGGAAGGAAAUCACUGCAUGCCAAUUUCUUUCUACUGAUUUCUAUUGUCUCUACUUAUCAUAUGUUGUUUUAACAAUUCGUUGUGGAGCACUGUAUCUUCCAUACAAUUCUUACCUAGAUAAUGGCCUGAUUAUAUUCUAUAACUUUGUGUUCUCAUUCAACCUAAUUUACUCUCGAGUUAGAAAACAUUACUGUCCCCAGAGAAACAUUCAGCCCUUUGUUCUCUUUGUUCACAAAUUAAUUUAAAGAAGGAUCAACUAGAAGUGUAGAAAGUUUCUAUUAAAUCUGCUAAGAUCUCUUCCUAUUCAGAUUUGAUUUCUGUUGCUGGGGGCUACUCUUGAUAUUUAUGUGGGAUGAAAUAUUGUUCAUCCCCUUAACAAAGAGAAAGUUGCUUCCAUUCACUACUUCCAUGAACCUCAGACAGUGUUUACACAGUAUGUAUUCAAAACAUGACAGCUCUUUCUUACCAUCCUGUAC